RNAcentral lists this ribosomal RNA (1397 nucleotides) under human gut metagenome. Its description in RNAcentral is "bacterial LSU rRNA". It matches the Rfam family "Bacterial large subunit ribosomal RNA", at positions 809 to 2294 of the family's 2925-position model. The record is from RNAcentral.
CUGUGGGUAGCGGAGAAAUUCCAAUCGAACCCGGAGAUAGCUGGUUCUCCCCGAAAUAGUUUUAGGACUAGCCUCAAGUUAGAUACCUGGAGGUAAAGCACUGAAUAGCCUAGCGGCCGAGAGGUUAGCGAAGCUUAUCAAACUCAGAAUGCCAGAGUAUUGAUGCUUGGGAGUCAGACAGUGUCAGAUAAAUGUCAUUGUCAAAAGGGAAACAGCCCAGAUCUACAGCUAAGGUCCCAAAGUCAGGUUAAGUGGAAAACGAUGUGAAGAUACGUAGACAACCAGGAUGUUGGCUUAGAAGCAGCCACACAUUCAAAGAGUGCGUAAUAGCUCACUGGUCGAGCGUCUUUGCGCGGAGAAUUUAACGGGGCUAAACCUGACACCGAAGCUUAGGCAAUACAGCAAUGUAUUGGGUAGGGGAGCGUUGUAUACGCGGUGAAACAGUAGCGCAAGCGGCUGUGGAGUGUAUAGAAGUGAGAAUGCCGGAAUGAGUAGCGCGAAUGCAGUGAGAAUCUGCAUGGCCGAAAGCCUCAGGUUUCUGGAGGAAGGUUCGUCCGCUCCAGGUUAGUCGGGAGCUAAGGUGAGGCCUAACGGCGUAGCCGAUGCACAGACGGUAGAGAUUCCGUCACCACCAAAAGAGUUAAACACAGGGACACAUAUGAAGUCUCGGAGCCGGGUGUUGGUUCCGGUAGCGAUCGAGGGAAGUUAGUACCGAAGUCCGAGAUGGAAGAUGGCGAGAAAAGCUGUGUGUAUUUCUGCGGUGCCCGUACCGCAAACCGACACAGGUAGGUAGGAAGAAGAUUCUAAGGCCAACGGGAGAAGGGUUGUUAAGGAACUCGGCAAAUUGACCCCGUAACUUCGGGAGAAGGGGUGCUCCAGAGAUGGAGCCGCAGAGAAUCGGCCCAAGCAACUGUUUACCAAAAACACAGGUUUGUGCUAAAUCGAAAGAUGACGUAUACGAGCUGACGCCUGCCCGGUGCUGGAAGGUUAAGAGGAGAUGUGCAAGCAUUGAAUCGAAGCCCCAGUGAACGGCGGCCGUAACAAUAACGGUCCUAAGGUAGCGAAAUUCCUUGUCAGGUAAGUUCUGACCCGCAUGAAAGGCGUAAUGAUUUGGGCACUGUCUCAACAGCCCGCCCGGCGAAAUUGUAGUACCGGUGAAGAUGCCGGUUACCCGCGACAAGACGGAAAGACCCCAUGGAGCUUUACUGUAGCCUAAUAUUGGGUUUCGAUGUUGCAUGCACAGGAUAGAUGGGACACUGGGAAACAGGAGCUUUGGCUUCUGCGGAGUGGCCGUUGGGAUACCAUCCUUGCGAUAUUGGAAUUCUAACCUGCGGCUCUGAAUCGAGUCGGGGGACAUUGUUAGGUGGGCAGUUUGACUGGGGCGGUCGCCUCCUAAA